This 63-nucleotide transfer RNA is filed under the name Ryssota otaheitana. Its description in RNAcentral is "tRNA-Val". Lineage: Eukaryota; Metazoa; Mollusca; Gastropoda; Stylommatophora; Chronidae. The record is from RNAcentral.
AAAAACUUAGUACUAAUGGUAUAAUUCACUUACAAUGAAUAGAUUUUAUUUUAAAAGUUUUUU